UACAGAGGGGGCAAGCGUUGUUCGGGAUUACUGGGCGUAAAGGGCGCGUAGGCGGCCCGCUAAGUCGAACGUGAAAUCCCCGAGCUCAACUCGGGAACUGCGUCCGAUACUGGUGGGCUUGAAUCCGGGAGAGGGAUGCGGAAUUCCAGGUGUAGCGGUGAAAUGCGUAGAUAUCUGGAGGAACACCGGUGGCGAAGGCGGCAUCCUGGACCGGCAUUGACGCUGAGGCGCGAAAGCUAGGGGAGCAAACGGG
This 253-nucleotide ribosomal RNA is filed under the name uncultured bacterium. RNAcentral's name for it is "partial 16S ribosomal RNA". It matches the Rfam family "Bacterial small subunit ribosomal RNA", at positions 524 to 776 of the family's 1533-position model. The record is from RNAcentral.